UGGGGAAUCUUGCACAAUGGGCGAAAGCCUGAUGCAGCAACGCCGCGUGCGGGAAGAAGGCCCUAGGGUUGUAAACCGCUUUCAGCAGGGAAGAAAAUGACGGUACCUGUAGAAGAAGGUGCGGCCAACUACGUGCCAGCAGCCGCGGUGACACGUAGGCACCAAGCGUUGUCCGGAUUUAUUGGGCGUAAAGAGCUCGUAGGCGGUUCGGUAAGUCGGGUGUGAAAACUCUGGGCUCAACCCAGAGCCGCCACCCGAUACUGCUGUGACUCGAGUGCGGUAGGGGAGCGGGGAAUUCCUGGUGUAGCGGUGAAAUGCGCAGAUAUCAGGAGGAACACCAGUGGCGAAGGCGCCGCUCUGGGCCGUGACUGACGCUGAGGAGCGAAAGCGUGGGUAGCAAACAGGAUUAGAUACCCUGGUAGUCCACGCCGUAAACGUUGGGCACUAGGUGUGGGUCUCAACCAACGAGAUCCGCGCCGUCGCUAACGCAUUAAGUGCCCCGCCUGGGGAGUACGGCCGCACGGCUAA
RNAcentral lists this ribosomal RNA (528 nucleotides) under uncultured Ilumatobacter sp. RNAcentral describes it as "bacterial SSU rRNA". It matches the Rfam family "Bacterial small subunit ribosomal RNA", at positions 355 to 897 of the family's 1533-position model. Lineage: Bacteria; Bacillati; Actinomycetota; Acidimicrobiia; Acidimicrobiales; Ilumatobacteraceae. The record is from RNAcentral.